UGGGGAGUGGUGUAAUCGGCAGCACAGGCGCCUUUGGAGCGCCUAGUCCCGGUUCAAGUCCGGGCUCCCCAG
RNAcentral lists this transfer RNA (72 nucleotides) under Thermoleophilaceae bacterium. RNAcentral's name for it is "tRNA-Gln". It matches the Rfam family "tRNA". Rfam says of the family: Transfer RNA (tRNA) molecules are approximately 80 nucleotides in length. Their secondary structure includes four short double-helical elements and three loops (D, anti-codon, and T loops). The record is from RNAcentral. Lineage: Bacteria; Bacillati; Actinomycetota; Thermoleophilia; Thermoleophilales; Thermoleophilaceae.